GAAAGCUUCCCUUGCCAUGCACCAAGUUCCAUUUCCCAAAUGCACGUCAUAAGAUUUUGUGUCAACCACCUUCAAUCCCAACGAAGCCACUAAUUCCCUAGAUAUAAAAUUGUGUCUAGCUUUGCUAUUCACCAACAAUAUUGUAGCAUAACCCUUCAACAAUCUUUCAAAAUUAAUGGUCCCUGGAUGGAUUGUUUCUUGUUGAUCAAUCACCCCAUAAUUCAAAACCUAACUGACCAUAAACCUUAUAUUUGUCCUCUUUAGCUUCUAUGGACACUAAUGAUUCUUCCUGGUAUUCAUCACCUUCCUAAUUGAGGAGGUGCAAAUGCUUGUAUAGGCUUUGUUGAGUGGGAUUGUAAUGCUUCCCACACUUGAAAGACAACCCCUUAUUUCUCCCUUCCACAGAAUCCCCACACUAGAUUUUGUGUUCCACCUUGAUAGCAAGAAUUUGAAAUUUGUGUUGACCUUGUUUGUCUGAAUCUCAUGAUCCAUUUGAUUUUAUAGACACCACUAGUUGAGCUUUGGACCCACUUGCAACCAAGUUGAUCAAUGAGGUUAUAGUAUUCAUUUGCUGCAUUCUGUGCCACCCACUAAAGGCUUUUCAAGGUGAAGAGCGAGUGAGUAUUUGCUCAAUCAACAUGAAACAGAAAUGAAUUUGUAGCUUGAAGGUGAGAAACUCCAUCCUUAGUUCUGAUGCAACUUCAGUCGGAGUGGUGAUUCCCAUAUCGAUCCAUAAGCUGGAUCUUCUCCAUCGAACACAGGCAAUUCUACUUGCUUCGACGAAAUUUUAAGCUCAUCCAAAAUGGUUACAGUGGAUGAAGAGCCUCCAUUUGGUGUCAACAUUCCUGCAUAUGACAACUUUGGUUCUUGUUGCCGAAGAAUCCAUCUCGCAUCUUUGCAUGCAAAGUUUAAAGGGACUUGGUGAUCUCAUCGACACUAGUAAUUGAGGAACCCAAGUGCCUGGAGUUUUCCUUCAGAGUCGGAUCAUGACAACACACAAAUUAGUCCUUUCCUGAAGCAAUGGGUCCUGGUUUUAGAGACUUGAGUCAACCCUGACUCCAAAGCUUCUAAUUGUGAAGUCAUUCUUGUGUGCUUACUCAUUUUGAUAGCAACUACUAUCGGUUGGAGGUGAUUCUUGACCUAG
Molecule: small RNA, 1144 nt
Filed under: Vigna angularis var. angularis
Lineage: Eukaryota; Viridiplantae; Streptophyta; Magnoliopsida; Fabales; Fabaceae
Description: Non-protein coding transcript
Source: RNAcentral